RNAcentral lists this ribosomal RNA (301 nucleotides) under uncultured bacterium. Its description in RNAcentral is "partial 16S ribosomal RNA". It matches the Rfam family "Bacterial small subunit ribosomal RNA", at positions 509 to 807 of the family's 1533-position model. The record is from RNAcentral.
CAGUAGCCGCGGUAAUACGAAGGGUGCAAGCGUUACUCGGAAUUACUGGGCGUAAAGCGUGCGUAGGUGGUGGUUUAAGUCCGUUGUGAAAGCCCUGGGCUCAACCUGGGAAUUGCAGUGGAUACUGGGUCACUAGAGUGUGGUAGAGGAUAGUGGAAUUUCCGGUGUAGCAGUGAAAUGCGUAGAGAUCGGAAGGAACAUCUGUGGCGGAGGCGACUAUCUGGGCCAACACUGACACUGAGACACGAAAGCGUGGGGAGCAAACAGGAUUAGAUACCCGCGUAGUCCCUGUCUCUUAUAC